Molecule: small RNA, 947 nt
Filed under: Pan troglodytes (chimpanzee)
Lineage: Eukaryota; Metazoa; Chordata; Mammalia; Primates; Hominidae
Description: processed transcript
Source: RNAcentral
GCGGCUGGAGCCGGCCAAGCGGGCAGCCCACAACGUCCACAAGCGGCUGCAGGCCUGUCUGCAGGGCCAGAGCGGGGCAGACAUGGACAAGCGGGUGAAGAAGCUUCCCCUCAUGGCUCUGUCCACCACGAUGGCUGAGAGCUUCAAGGAGCUGGACCCUGAUUCCAGCAUGGGGCCUUGGAGAUGAGCUGUGCCAUCCAGAAUCAGCUGGCCCGCAUCCUGGCCGAGUUUGAGAUGACCCUGGAGAGGGACGUCCUGCAGCCACUCAGCAGGCUGAGUGAGGAGGAGCUGCCAGCCAUCCUCAAGCACAAGAAAAGCCUCCAGAAGCUCGUGUCCGACUGGAACACACUCAAGAGCAGGCUCAGUCAGGCAACCAAGAAUUCAGGCAGCAGUCAAGGCCUGGGAGGCGGCCCGGGCAGUCACAGCCAUACGACCAUGGCCAACAAGGUGGAGACGCUGAAGGAGGAGGAGGAGGAGCUGAAGAGGAAAGUGGAGCAAUGCAGGGACGAGUACUUGGCUGACCUGUACCACUUUGUUACCAAGGAGGACUCCUAUGCCAACUACUUCAUUCAUCUCCUGGAGAUUCAGGCCGAUUACCAUCGCAGGUCACUGAGCUCGCUGGACACAGCCCUGGCUGAGCUGAGGGAGAACCACGGCCAAGCAGACCACUCCCCCUCGAUGACAGCCACCCACUUCCCCAGGGUGUAUGGGGUGUCGCUGGCAACCCACCUGCAAGAGCUGGGCCGGGAGAUUGCCCUGCCCAUCGAGGCCUGCGUCAUGAUGCUGCUUUCUGAGGGCAUGAAGGAAGAGGGUCUCUUCCGUCUGGCUGCUGGGGCCUCGGUGCUGAAGCGUCUCAAGCAGACAAUGGCCUCGGACCCCCACAGCCUGGAGGAGUUCUGCUCCGACCCGCACGCCAUGGCAGGUGCCCUCAAGUCCUAUCUGCGGGA